GGGUCCAUAGCUCAGCUGGGAGAGCGCCUGCCUUGCACGCAGGAGGUCAGCGGUUCGAUCCCGCUUGGCUCCACCA
This 76-nucleotide transfer RNA is filed under the name Pseudomonas syringae. RNAcentral's name for it is "tRNA-Ala". It matches the Rfam family "tRNA". From Rfam's summary of the family: Transfer RNA (tRNA) molecules are approximately 80 nucleotides in length. Lineage: Bacteria; Pseudomonadati; Pseudomonadota; Gammaproteobacteria; Pseudomonadales; Pseudomonadaceae. The record is from RNAcentral.